GGUGAGUAACACGUGGGUAACNUGCCNGUAAGACUGGGAUAANUCCGGGAAACCGGGGCUAAUACCGGAUGCUUGAUUGAACCGCAUGGUUCAAUCAUAAAAGGUGGCUUUNAGNUACCACUUACAGAUGGACCCGCGGCGCAUUAGCUAGUUGGUGAGGUAACGGCUCACCAAGGCGACGAUGCGUAGCCGACCUGAGAGGGUGAUCGGCCACACUGGGACUGAGACACGGCCCAGACUCCUACGGGAGGCAGCAGUAGGGAAUCUUCCGCAAUGGACGAAAGUCUGACGGAGCAACGCCGCGUGAGUGAUGAAGGUUUUCGGAUCGUAAAACUCUGUUGUUAGGGAAGAACAAGUACCGUUCGAAUAGGGCGGUACCUUGACGGUACCUAACCAGAAAGCCACGGCUAACUACGUGCCAGCAGCCGCGGUAAUACGUAGGUGGCAAGCGUUGUCCGGAAUUAUUGGGCGUAAAGCGCGCGCAGGCGGUUUCUUAAGUCUGAUGUGAAAGCCCCCGGCUCAACCGGGGAGGGUCAUUGGAAACUGGGGAACUUGAGUGCAGAAGAGGAGAGUGGAAUUCCACGUGUAGCGGUGAAAUGCGUAGAGAUGUGGAGGAACACCAGUGGCGAAGGCGACUCUCUGGUCUGUAACUGACGCUGAGGCGCGAAAGCGUGGGGAGCGAACAGGAUUAGAUACCCUGGUAGUCCACGCC
RNAcentral lists this ribosomal RNA (712 nucleotides) under Bacillus sp. AS45. RNAcentral's name for it is "bacterial SSU rRNA". It matches the Rfam family "Bacterial small subunit ribosomal RNA", at positions 105 to 801 of the family's 1533-position model. Lineage: Bacteria; Bacillati; Bacillota; Bacilli; Caryophanales; Bacillaceae. The record is from RNAcentral.